RNAcentral lists this transfer RNA (358 nucleotides) under uncultured Microcystis sp. RNAcentral describes it as "partial 16S-23S ribosomal RNA intergenic spacer". The stretch from base 135 to 208 matches the Rfam family "tRNA". The record is from RNAcentral. Lineage: Bacteria; Bacillati; Cyanobacteriota; Cyanophyceae; Chroococcales; Microcystaceae.
AAGGGAGACCUAAUUCCGGUAGGAGACGAAAAAAAAGUAGUCCCUACCAAGAAUCAAUCCCAAAAGGUCGAAGCGAGGCAAGAUUGGCUUUCAAACUAGGUUCUGGGUUCAAACAAGACCUGAAUCAGGAACAAGGGCUAUUAGCUCAGGUGGUUAGAGCGCACCCCUGAUAAGGGUGAGGUCCCUGGUUCGAGUCCAGGAUGGCCCACCUGCACAGGUGGCAAAAACAAAGAAGCGAGGAAUCAGCACCUUAUCUUACUCAUAUAGUAAGGGAGAAUGCUGGCUCUGAGUAAAGAGUCCAGAGGAACCUUGAAAACUGCAUAGAGCUAGGUGAAAAAGCCAAAAAAGAAGACCGCAA